RNAcentral lists this long non-coding RNA (243 nucleotides) under Nicotiana benthamiana. RNAcentral's name for it is "long non-coding RNA (NBEN_LNC009057)". Lineage: Eukaryota; Viridiplantae; Streptophyta; Magnoliopsida; Solanales; Solanaceae. The record is from RNAcentral.
CAGUAUUAUUCUCUACGUAAAUUCCUCUUUUCUCUGAAAAUUUCAGACUUGAGAAAAUCUCAGAAAAUUUCAAAAAAACCUCUCAUCUUUAAUAAGCUAGAAAUGAUUUGAAGUAGGGUUAUUUGUUCGAAUUUCUAUUUUUCAAGUGGCUAGUUUUUGUUUUUGAAACUUUAGGGAUCACUUCGUUGCUGGUUUAUUUUUGAGUUUCGCCGUUGCUUUUUUUGGGGGUUUCUUCAAUCAGCG